RNAcentral lists this long non-coding RNA (283 nucleotides) under Mytilus galloprovincialis (Mediterranean mussel). The record is from RNAcentral. Lineage: Eukaryota; Metazoa; Mollusca; Bivalvia; Mytilida; Mytilidae.
UCGGCGUAAGUUAGAAGUUUCUGGGAUAAAAUGGUGGCUAUGGUGUUCUGUUUUUGUGUUUUGUGCGUAUGUGUGUUUGUAUUAGGCGGUAUUACACUUCUUUUAUGUAUUUGUCUUUAGGGAUCGAGUAAUGCAGAUAAAUUAAAACAGCGUGUCUGCUUCAUUUGAGAUCUGACAUAAUUGUUUACAACAAAUCAUGAAUAAUUUUCAGAAUACUGCUUUAAAAGAGAGCAAUUAUUUCAUGAUUACUUGGAAGAAGAUACUCUAUCUGUGACAAAGGCAC